RNAcentral lists this ribosomal RNA (244 nucleotides) under Klebsiella pneumoniae. RNAcentral describes it as "partial 16S ribosomal RNA". It matches the Rfam family "Bacterial small subunit ribosomal RNA", at positions 339 to 575 of the family's 1533-position model. The record is from RNAcentral. Lineage: Bacteria; Pseudomonadati; Pseudomonadota; Gammaproteobacteria; Enterobacterales; Enterobacteriaceae.
CUACGGGAGGCAGCAGUGGGGAAUAUUGCACAAUGGGCGCAAGCCUGAUGCAGCCAUGCCGCGUGUGUGAAGAAGGCCUUCGGGUUGUAAAGCACUUUCAGCGGGGAGGAAGGCGUUAAGGUUAAUAACCUUGGCGAUUGACGUUACCCGCAGAAGAAGCACCGGCUAACUCCGUGCCAGCAGCCGCGGUAAUACGGAGGGUGCAAGCGUUAAUCGGAAUUACUGGGCGUAAAGCGCACGCAGG